UACGUAGGGUGCAAGCGUCGUCCGGAAUUAUUGGGCGUAAAGAGCUCGUAGGCGGUUCGUCACGUCGGCUGUGAAAACCUGAGGCUCAACCUCAGGCCUGCAGUCGAUACGGGCGGACUCGAGUUCGGCAGGGGAGACUGGAAUUCCUGGUGUAGCAGUGAAAUGCGUAGAUAUCAGGAGGAAUACCGAUGGCGAAGGCAGGUCUCUGGGCUGACACUGACGCUCAUGCACGAAAGCGUGGGGAGCAAACAGG
Molecule: ribosomal RNA, 253 nt
Filed under: uncultured bacterium
Lineage: Bacteria
Description: partial 16S ribosomal RNA
Rfam family: Bacterial small subunit ribosomal RNA
Source: RNAcentral